CUUUAACUGGCGGAUAUAGUUAACGAGAUAUCAAGAUGGCUGUGAGCAAUGAUACAAUUUGUGCCUUCAUCGAUACUAGAACUACUAUUUUGGCAAUGGAAUUCGAUUCUGGAAUAAUUAUUGCUGCAGAUACCCACACAAGUGGUGGUCAGUACAUAGAUAAAACAGUGACGCAGUGGCAGUGCCGCUGAUACGCAGGCUGUGGCUGAUUUAGUUCAAGCAAUGUAUUUCCCCAACCUUAUCUAUCGCUUGCAAUCUCAGUUAUUAGCUGGUGUAAUUGUUGCUGGCUAUGAUGACUCUGAAGGUGGUCACGUUUACACAAUCUUACAUGUUAGUAUGGGGGUACCUUAGCCAAUAGCUAUUGAAGGUUCUGGAUCACGUUUUAUUUUCGUAUUCGCAAAAGAUAAGUAUCAUGCUGGAAUGAAACAGGAUGAAUGUGUUGCUUUUGCUGUAAGUGCUAUAAAUCAUGCACAGAUCUGUGAUGGUAUCUCAGGUGGAGUGGUACUUAUUAGCAUUAUUAGCUUCUGGUAUAGGGCAAAGAAAUUUCAAAAGUCUGCACUGGUGAAGGCUGAAGUGAUGC
Long non-coding RNA from Teleopsis dalmanni, 580 nucleotides. RefSeq lists it as uncharacterized. Lineage: Eukaryota; Metazoa; Arthropoda; Insecta; Diptera; Diopsidae. The record is from RefSeq and is a predicted model, not a curated record. The transcript is spliced from 4 exons.